This 5529-nucleotide long non-coding RNA is filed under the name Sus scrofa (pig). Its description in RNAcentral is "lncRNA (ENSSSCG00000053678.1)". The record is from RNAcentral. Lineage: Eukaryota; Metazoa; Chordata; Mammalia; Artiodactyla; Suidae.
UCAAACAACUAAUUCACUGCUACUUUCCCUCCAAUUUUAACCUUUUCCCCACUUAAUUGAAUCUUAUUUUCCUGUAGACAUGGUGACAUUUAGAUAUUCCUUCAGACUGGAUCUCUAAACGCCUGUCUGGUACCUAUACAAACUCCUUCUCUCUGGGAACCACUCCAGUCAGUUUGUUUGAUAUAAAAAACUGAAGUAUUAGAUAACUUUUAAAAACUGAACCAAUUUUUCAUUGCAGUGAAAAGAUUCAAGCUAAUUAUGGAUAUUGGCAUCUCCAGUUUUAUAGAUUAGAAACCGUGGUCAUCCUGAAGCAUAAUCUAAUUCAUUAUACCUGGAAUAUUUUCAUGAAACAGCCAGUGUUUAAUAAAAGUAUUUGAUAAUAAACGAAAAUAUAUUCAAAGACAAAAUGAGUCUGAUUGUGAUGAAUGUUAAAGACACAAAUGAGAGAUAUGGUUUAGUCACUGACCAAAAGGUUAAGCUGUAAAAGGUUAAGAUAUAUUGGACACCAAGCCCUUUGAGAAUAAGAAACUUUUCCUUUCCAUUUUAACCAAUAAAGAGUUUAAUAAAUGUUUACUAAAUGAAUACCUGAGGGAUUAGUAAAGGAAAAAAAAUUAGUUAGGGAUAAAUUAUGCAGAAUAGAUUAAGUAGAUUAUUCUUAUCGUAAUGCCUAAUAAAAAUAAACAAAAAUGGCUAGAAGACAUGAGAUCUUAUGUCAUAUACUGAAUAGUGACUUUUAAGAUAACUUUGAUUAAAAUCAUGGCUUAGAUUAUGGCCUCCGAAGAUACAGCUUGGGCAUGACAAAACUUUUCUUCCCUUUGACUAAACCCAUAUUUCUGUGCUUCCUAGUUUCUGAGACUACUCCUCAGGUAUCAUUCCUAGAAAAAAAGUGCGUUUUUUUUUUCUUUCUUAGUAAGUUCUAAGCAUCCCUUAUACCCCCUUGGAACUGUUUGCUCUCAAACCUGCCUUUGAAAUUAUGCUGGUCAGCAGUUUGUCCAAAAUCAACCUUGUAGACAUAUCCUUUCUCUAAUUCUUCUGUCACUCUGGGCACUCUCCCCAGCCAGAAGAUGGUAUUUGAACAUGUAAAGUCUCCUGGUCUAAAGAGAUAGCCACUCGUAUGGGUAUUUGUAUUGUUAGUCAUUCAUUCAUAUUUCCAGCCUUUUCCAAGUGCAAGCCCUGAUAUCUUUGACCUGCAGCUACCUAUCCCAUUUGCUGAGUGAUUUGGUCCAACCUGGCCAGUAUAUUAUCAUCUUAUCAUCCUAUGAAUAAGGGGCCCUAAGCUAGUCUUGCUUUAUUAAGCUCAUUAUGAAGCCUGUUCAUUUGAAUUCCUCAGGUCAGCUUGGGAGUACCUUUGUGAUUAAUGAACUGCAACUUUCCCCUAACCACUCCGUCUGCCAUAUUUGGACAGUCUGAGUGAAAUGUGUCUUUCUUGUUUUUCUAAUUAUAUUCCAGUUCAUAAAAUCUUGACUUUUUCCUUGAACAAUAUGUUUGACUGGCACUUUGAUAAUUCCUCCAGCUAUGGUCAGCUUCUUCUUAGGAUUGAUUGAUAUGUAGACCAGUGUUGUUAUUAUUUUAAAAUAUAGGCUGUAGGAUACAUGCAGAAUCUCCUAGAUUGAUUUAUACAAAUGCACAUUUCAGUACCCUGAUGUAGACUUAGAAAUCAUAAUCUCUGAAUAUAGGACCAUGGACUUUGCAAGUAAACAAGCUUUUACAGUUUACAACAUUUAGAGAAAUAAAAAAAUAUUUAUCUUUUUUGUUAUCUGUAUGAAAUGAUAGAUUAAACUUAUUGUGGUAAUCAUUUUGUGAUAUACAUAAAUCAUUAUACAGCUUAAAAUUUACAGUGCUGUAUGUCAUUUAUGUCUCAAUAAACCUAAGGGAAAAGUUGGAGAAAAACUACACUAAAGCUUAAGAAAUAUUACUAUAGUUUGUACAUCUAGCAUUGAGGAUUGUAUCCAAAUCAAGAUGUAAUUAUUUUAAAAGCAGCCUUAUUAAGACAUAAUUCACUUACCAAAAAGUGUAGCCUUUCAAAGAGGUUUGGUCUAAUUAUUCGAUAUGGGAUCUUGAGGGUUUCUUUUUCUAAAAGUGAUUCGUUACCUUGGAGAUUUUUCCUAUAGUAUUUUUUUUUAAGGCUAUAUGUGUGGCAUAUGGAAAUUCCCAGGCUGGGGUUAAAUCGGACCUACUGCUUCUGGCCUAUGCCACAGACAUGGCAAUGCUGGAUGCGAGCCACGUCUGUGACCUACACCACAAUUCACGGAAAAGCCAGAUCCUUAAGCCAUUGAGUGAAGCCAAGUAUUGAACCCAUAUGCUCAUGAAUACUAGUUGGGUUCGCUACCACUGAGCCACAAUGGGAACUUCCUUUUUUUUUUUUUUUUUCCUAUAGUAUCUUUAUAUAUGGUAUAAACUCCUUUAAAUACAACAGGUAAGUUUACCAUACUGAUGAACAUUUAGAUUGCUGAUUAUCUACUUGGAGUCCAAGUCUGCUGUUAGGAGUAUUUCCUUGGACUUAUGAUCCAUAAUUACAGAUUUUUUUCUUCUAAACAAUCUUUAUUCUGAAGACCCAUCAGGCCUUAUGGCCCCACUGAGAAUAUUCCACAUGUAUAUGGAAUGGUUCUAGAUGGUUUUGUCUAGAAUAACAGAUAAAUGUUGGAACAACGCACCAUUAGCUUUGGUAGAAAGGGUGAAGCCAUAUUAACAAAUUGAGAAACUGGAGUUUAUAUGUAUUUGGUAGAAAAUAGAGACCCUCUGGGAAAUCAACAAAAUAAUAUGAACAAAUUUAUUUGUGGGUAUUUGUAUACACUUGGCCUGGUAAAGGAGAACCAGAUGGGCCAGUGAGAAGUAAGACAAAUAUCAAGAGAUCUCUAAAAAGAAGGGUGUUGAACUGAACCAGGAGCUAGAUGUUGAGGGCCUGUGUUUGAAUUCUCUCUCACAGAAUGGAAGGUAAAUAUUGCUAAGAUCUGCUGAAUGAAUGGAACUGAAAAGGUUAAACUGCAUAAUGCCUUGGCUAGAUGGCUGAGGAACUUGUGGUGCUGCUGAGAGUGGUAACAAAGUUGAUGGAAGAGCUGAUCAAGAUGAAUAUAAGCUCUAAGCCCUGUUACCUCACACCUGAGCCCAAGUUGCCACUGUCAUUUCUCAACUACAAAGUGUGAUUGAUGCCAGGAUGCAGAACUAAAAAAGGGUGAUUACUGGAUGUCGGGGUGAGGUACAUAAUGCUAUGUUGUUUGAGCAAAUAAUAUCAUUUCUGGAAAAUGACAAGAUGAAUGGCGCUAGUGUGUAUCUAUCAAAUGAGUCAUAUUAGGCAUUUAUCCAGUAUUUUGUACAGGGCCUACUCUCUCUAAAGAGACUCAGUUUCACCUUCUUUGCAUUUCACCCUAAUACCUUUCUUUGUCAAUUCUCUUUCCAGUAGGGAACUAUGGGAAAGAAAAUAUAAGUUGGGAGACUUGGUUACAAUAUUCGAAUAUAAUUUUUGGGAACAAAUAUUGCUUAUCAUAUUUGGUUUGCCCAUAUGUCUUUACAAAAGCUGUAGGACUAGUUUUAACCAAUGAAGCAUGAGCAGACAUGAGAAGUGUUAACAUCUAGGCCAAAGUACUUAAGAAGCACUUCCCUUUGGGCUAAUUGUGCAAGCUACACAUUGGAUCAGCCUGGAUGCUCAAGUCAUUGCAUGGAGAAGAAUUUCCUUUGAGAAGUGCCUAUUCCAAAUCAAAGUUUGUGUGAAUGAGAAAUAAAUCUUUCUUCUGUUGGGCUACUGUACUUACUUGUUACCAUAGUCGUGCUUACAUAUCCUGCCUAAUAUACUAAGUCAGGGUGGCUUGUGCAAAAUUAAUCAAUCAAUGAAUAAUAACAUGGGCUAAAACUUCAGAGGUGACUGACACUAGAGACAGCUAGACUUAGGUGAUUCCUCAUCUUAGUUUUACAUUUCUCUGUUAACUUCAUUACUAAACAGUCUCUCUCCUGGUAGUAUCUCUGAUUUUUUACCCACAGUUUAGCAAUCCAGUAAAAAGAGGGCUUUUUAAAAGUCCAGUAUCUCCUUCACUUGUAAACAAACCAGCAAGCAAACCUGGAAUUGAAUAUCAUUGUACUGACAUGGAUCAUGCAUUUAUACCUCUAUCUAUGGAUAUUAAUCAUGUCCAGAGAUUUGAUGUGUUAUAAUUUGCCUGGUCAGAGGCCAAAAGUUAUGGUCAAACCCAGCCAAAUCACACAGACGAACAGUGAGUGAGGAGUGGUUUCCCAAAAUGAAAUACGAUUGCUAUAAUUAAAGAGGGGUGGGGAGUUCCAUUGUGGCACAGCGGAAAUGAAUCUGACUGCCAUCCAUGAGGAUGCUGCUUCUAUCCCUGGCCUCUCUCAGUGGGUCAGGACUCCAGCUUUGCCAUGAGAUGUGGUGUAGGUUACAGAUGCAGCUCAGAUCUCGUGUUGCUGUGACUGUGGCGUAAGCCAGCAGCUGCAGCUCUGAUUCGACCCCUAGCCUGGGAACUUCCAUAUGCUGAGGGUGCAGCCCUAAAAAGUUAAAAAAAAAAUUAAUUAAAAAGUUUAAAAAGAAGGGUGAAUUGAUUCUGGGAAGCAAAAAUAUAUAUAUUAAUUCAUAUAUUUUCAGUGUAGACAUUAUCUCCUUAUAGCUCUAAGCAAUAUUAUAUAAGUAUGCUCUAUAGAGUGUUUCCUUAGUUAAUAUUUCCUAAUGGAAUAAUGCUCCUUAGUUUUUAAUAUCCAAACUUCAUGGAGCUUACAGAACUCUCAACUGCAACAUUUUCAGCCUAUGUUUUCAUCAUCUGUCCCCAGAGUUAAAUAUAAAAUUUCAAACAAAGUGAUAUUUAGAAAAAAGCUUUGGGUUGUACUCCAGAAACAGCUAGUAGAAUGUCAAAGUCAUGAUAAAUAUUUUGAAAAGUAUAAAGUAUGAUGGAUGUUGACAAAAAGGACAUGUAGGUUAGAUGUGUCUGGUGCUAAGAAAGGCAUCACUGUGUCACACUCAAGGUGAGACAGUCUCUGCCACUGGGCAUUUGUCCUAAAUGUCUUUCCUAUUGUUGCUAAGUGUUUGCCAAGAAUUAAUUGGACAGUAUGACCCCCCAAACACAAGGCAGUGCUCAUAAAAAUUGUAGGGACAUAAGCAAAGCAAAUGAGAAAAUGAUUGCAAUAGAACUGAAGUGUUACUGCAGUAAACAUAAUUUUAAAAAAAUUACUGUGUUAAUCAUUUUAUAAUUAACAACCUGUAUUCCAAGUAUCUUGUAUCCUGACAUGAUAGUUUGUUAAUUCUCUAAAGACAUUUGUGUGUGUAUGUGUGUGUGUGUGUGUGUGUGUUUUAAUCAUAGAAAUAUGUUGAGAAGUUCCCGUCGUGGCUCAGUGGUUAACUAAUCCGACUAGGAACCAUGAGGUUACGGGUGUGAUCCCUGGCCUUGCUCAGUGGGUUAAGGAUCCGGCGUUGCCGUGAGCUGUGGUGUAGGUUGCAUACGCGGCUUGGAUCCUGCAUGGCUUUGGUGUAGGCCAGCGGCUACAGCUCUGAUUCGACCCCUAGCCUGGGAAUCUCCAUAUGCUGCAGGAGUGGCC